RNAcentral lists this ribosomal RNA (1036 nucleotides) under Streptomyces sp. EAGB24. RNAcentral describes it as "bacterial SSU rRNA". It matches the Rfam family "Bacterial small subunit ribosomal RNA", at positions 1 to 1068 of the family's 1533-position model. The record is from RNAcentral. Lineage: Bacteria; Bacillati; Actinomycetota; Actinomycetes; Kitasatosporales; Streptomycetaceae.
AUUUUUUUAGGGUCCUCUUGUGCUCUUAUAUGUACGUCGAACGAUGAACCGCUUUCGGGCGGGGAUUAGUGGCGAACGGGUGAGUAACACGUGGGCAAUCUGCCCUGCACUCUGGGACAAGCCCUGGAAACGGGGUCUAAUACCGGAUAUGACUGUCCAUCGCAUGGUGGAUGGUGUAAAGCUCCGGCGGUGCAGGAUGAGCCCGCGGCCUAUCAGCUUGUUGGUGAGGUAGUGGCUCACCAAGGCGACGACGGGUAGCCGGCCUGAGAGGGCGACCGGCCACACUGCGGACUGAGACACGGCCCAGACUCCUACGGGAGGCAGCAGUGGGGAAUAUUGCACAAUGGGCGAAAGCCUGAUGCAGCGACGCCGCGUGAGGGAUGACGGCCUUCGGGUUGUAAACCUCUUUCAGCAGGGAAGAAGCGAAAGUGACGGUACCUGCAAAAGAAGCGCCGGCUAACUACGUGGCCAGCAGGUAGCCGCAGGGGUAAUACGUAGGGCGCAAGCGUUGUCCGGAAUUAUUGGGCGUAAAGAGCUCGUAGGCGGCUUGUCACGUCGGUUGUGAAAGCCCGGGCUUUAACCCCGGGUCUGCUGUCGAUACGGACAGGGUAAAGUUCGGUAGGGGAGAUCGGAAUUCCUGGUGUAUUGGUGAUUUGCUUAUAUAUCUUGAUGAUUUUCGGUGUUUAAUGUUUUUUCUCUUUUUCUUUUUUCUGAUUCUGAUUUUCUGCGUGGGGAGCGAACAGGAUUAGAUACCCUGGUAGUCCACGCCGUAAACGGUGGGCACUAGGUGUGGGCAACAUUCCACGUUGUCCGUGCCGCAGCUAACGCAUUAAGUGCCCCGCCUGGGGAGUACGGCCGCAAGGCUAAAACUCAAAGGAAUUGACGGGGGCCCGCACAAGCGGCGGAGCAUGUGGCUUAAUUCGACGCAACGCGAAGAACCUUACCAAGGCUUGACAUACACCGGAAACGUCUGGAGACAGGCGCCCCCUUGUGGUCGGUGUACAGGUGGUGCAUGGCUGUCGUCAGCUCGUGUCGU